GACCCCCAUGGCUUUGUUGCAGCAAGUCUCCUCCUCAAGGUCCCUCCCUAAGGCCCGAGAAAAUUAGGAUGCAUGUACAUGAGCAUGAACCUCUUCAGAGUUUUCUCCUUUCCUACUACUGAUUUUGCUAGAAAUUGAAUGUCCCAGUUUAGAAGGUUCUGCACAAGCUCUUGGCAGACCUCCUGGAUGCCAUGCUGGGGAACACUCUGGUAGAGUCCCCAGACACAGAUAGGCUCCAGAACAUCUUGGAGCAUGUCAACUUCUGGAUCAGGUCCAGAGUGUCCCAGGAGAGAGCCAGGGCCAUAAGGAGCAGCACAGCCCUGCACUGAUUUACCAUCACCCUCCCUGAAAUUGAUAACUCAGCACAGUUCCACAAGAUGGGGAACCUCGUGGCUCAGCUGGGUCUGUACAUCAGUGACCCAGCUAAGGACAUCAGCCAGCACAUCUGUACGUCAGCCAGCAGGCCAGGGAGGGUAUUUACUGGCUGUACCAACUGCUGCUGCACCAGAGAGGAGGACGUCACAGCCAAGAUGAUGUGCCAGCUCCACACCAUCCAUUCCUUUUGCCAAGCCCCUGAGGCACUGCAUCUCUUAGGACACCUGUGAUGGGUUGUAUAACCCCACACUGGGCCAGGAGGAGUUAGAGAGCAGUCCUGGGCCGCUGUGAUCCCACCCCACUCCACCUGCAAGAACCUGCUCAAGAUGGAAGAGAAGUUUAAAAAGGAGCCUGUCAUGGGAUGUAUGUACCCCUGCACUAGCCCAGCAACCAGUGGGUUAACACAGCCACUGCCAGCCACUGCUGACUGACAAGCUAACAGCAGCUGGAAGGAUAAAAGGGCUGGGAGCAGAAGGGCAGGGCAGCUAAAGAGGAGUGAGGAGGCAGGACAAAGGAACGCCUGUCAGCAGACUGCUAGAGAGCCGCCCAGGGAUAUCACCCCAGAAAGAGGUGAACAGGCCAACAGACUGAAAAGCCUACAGAGGCCUGAAGGAAGGUAGGAAGCAGUUCAGGGCACAGUCAGAGUCAGUAAGCCCUGACUCUCCUUCUCUAGCUUGAAGGCCCUGAGCUGGAACCAGGUGGGUGUGGGGGCAGGCCUGGGUUCCCCUAAAUCCUCCUGAUGCACCUGGGAACAGAGAGGACAUUGUUUGCACUGACGCCCCACCUCACAGAGCCAGACAGCUCAGAACGGGGAGAAACAGUAGAGAACAAGAGAGUUACCUCAGAAGAUCCUGAAUAAGGGUGCGGCAGGUGUCUGGAGAGAUUCUGCUAGCAGCAGCUACCCCAGGCCUGAGAGGAGGGGCUAGCCUGUCCCUAAGACUACAGAACCCUUUGAUCUAACUUCUGGAGGGUCAUUUGACUGCCCAGUGGAGAGGGAAGGCCUGGGCUUCUGUACUAACGACGCAUUUCAUGGAGGGGACAUAGACUCUUUUUCCCCUCUCAAAGAGGAGGAGAGGGUAGAAACAUUAUAAGCCCUGAGCCAAAGGUGUGCCACUCACAGGCGACCAGAAGUGGGUUGAAGACCCUUUCUUUUGUGGGGACGUUGGACUGUAUACAUUUUGUUGGACUCUGUUAACCUGGAACUCAACUGGUGAACAGGCUAGAGGGCCAAGGCCUCAGAUCCUCAUCACUAGGGCCCUACCAAAUUCACGGUCCAUUUUGGUCAAUUUCACAGUCAUAGGAAUUUAAAAAUCAUAAUUUUCAUGAUUUCAGCUAUUUAAAUCUGAAAUUUCACACUGUUGUAAUUCUAUGGGUCCUGACCCACAAAGGAGUUGGGAGGGUAGGGGGUGUUGCGGUACUGCUCCCCUUACUUCUGCACUGCUGCUGGCAGCAGCGCUGCCUUCAGAGCUGGACAGCUGAAAAGCAGCAGCUGCUGGCCAGGAUCCCAGCUCUGAAGGCAGAUCCGCCUCCAGCAGCAGUGCAGAAAUAAAGAUGGCAUGGUAUGAUAUUACCACCCUUACUUCUGCGCUGCAGCCUGCACAGCUGGACCCUCCGUAAGCAGCUGCCACUCUCCAGCCACCCAGCUCUGAAGACAACUGCACAGAAGUAAGGGUGGCAUGGUAUGGUAUUGCCACUUACUUCUACACUGCUGCUGGCAGGGUGCUUCCUUCAGAGCUGGGUGCC
Long non-coding RNA from Mauremys mutica (yellowpond turtle), 2118 nucleotides. RefSeq lists it as uncharacterized. The record is from RefSeq and is a predicted model, not a curated record. The transcript has 5 exons. NCBI's taxonomy places the organism in Eukaryota, Metazoa, Chordata, Testudines, Geoemydidae.